CAGCCGCCACGGGAAUAUGAAGGGGGCUAGCGUUGUUCGGAUUUACUGGGCGUAAAGGGCGCGUAGGCGGACUGAUAAGUCAGGGGUGAAAUCCCAAGGCUCAACCUUGGAACUGCCUUUGAUACUGUUUGUCUUGAGUUCGAGAGAGGUAAGUGGAACUGCGAGUGUAGAGGUGAAAUUCGUAGAUAUUCGCAAGAACACCAGUGGCGAAGGCGGCUUACUGGCUCGAAACUGACGCUGAGGCGCGAAAGCGUGGGGAGCAAACAGGAUUAGAUACCCCCGUAGUCCCUGUCUCUUAUCA
RNAcentral lists this ribosomal RNA (301 nucleotides) under uncultured bacterium. RNAcentral's name for it is "partial 16S ribosomal RNA". It matches the Rfam family "Bacterial small subunit ribosomal RNA", at positions 509 to 809 of the family's 1533-position model. The record is from RNAcentral.